RNAcentral lists this non-coding RNA (21 nucleotides) under Caenorhabditis elegans. Lineage: Eukaryota; Metazoa; Nematoda; Chromadorea; Rhabditida; Rhabditidae. The record is from RNAcentral.
UUGCAACUUUGGUGUCAUAGU